UACGUAGGGGGCAAGCGUUGUCCGGAAUCAUUGGGCGUAAAGCGCACGUAGGCGGGUUGUUAAGUCAGGGGUGAAAUCCUGGAGCUCAACUCCAGAACUGCCUUUGAUACUGGCAACCUAGAGGCUGGAAGAGGUUAGUGGAAUUCCCAGUGUAGAGGUGAAAUUCGUAGAUAUUGGGAAGAACACCAGUGGCGAAGGCGGCUAACUGGUCCAGAUCUGACGCUGAGGUGCGAAAGCGUGGGGAGCGAACAGG
This 253-nucleotide ribosomal RNA is filed under the name uncultured bacterium. RNAcentral's name for it is "partial 16S ribosomal RNA". It matches the Rfam family "Bacterial small subunit ribosomal RNA", at positions 524 to 776 of the family's 1533-position model. The record is from RNAcentral.